Molecule: transfer RNA, 84 nt
Filed under: Mesorhizobium sp. LNJC386A00
Lineage: Bacteria; Pseudomonadati; Pseudomonadota; Alphaproteobacteria; Hyphomicrobiales; Phyllobacteriaceae
Description: tRNA-Lys
Source: RNAcentral
GAGCGAUUUCAAAUGCUUACGAGGCAAAAUCGUCGCUGACUUUUAAUCAGUAGGUCUCGGGUUCGAACCCCGACGCGCUCACCA